AGAAAAGAAGAAUAAGUAGAAGAAGAGGAUAAAGAAAAAUAGAAAUAGAAAUAAGAGGAAGAAGAAGAAGAAGAAGAAGAAGAAGAAGAAGAAGAAGAAGAAGAAGAAGAGGAGGANUAGGAGAAGAGGAGGAGGAGGAGGAGGAGGAGAAGAAGAUGAGAAGAUGAGAAGAAAGAGGAAAAAUGAAAAGAAGGAAGAAGAAGAAGAAGAGAAGA
RNAcentral lists this long non-coding RNA (215 nucleotides) under Hordeum vulgare. RNAcentral's name for it is "long non-coding RNA (HVUL_LNC006428)". The record is from RNAcentral. Lineage: Eukaryota; Viridiplantae; Streptophyta; Magnoliopsida; Poales; Poaceae.